AGAUUCUCAAAUUUUUAGGGCUAGCGCAAUACCACAGUUUUGGCUAUUCUUCAUGUUCUCUAGGGCAGUUAUUUUGCACCAGUGACAGAAACAGUGACCAAAUAAUUCAUUACCUUAUCUACAUGUGAAGGAAGAUUUUUGGCCUGCACUUUCACAGCUGAUAUUAUAAAAAUCAGCUUAUGACAUUAACAUGUUUCAAGCGUUUUAAUUUACUUUUAUUUGUGAAGUUUAUCUAUCACAUGUGGAGACAUACGCACAUACGAAACGGCAAAAAGACGCUAAAAUCUGGGUUAAGAGAAAAAAACUACCUGCGCCAAUCAGUUUUUGCCAUUUAUGGGCUUUACCCUAUAAAAGAAAACCGUUUUAUGCAUUUAAAUGACCUUACACGUUAUCAGUUUAUUAAGCGUUUAGACUAUGUAGACACAAUGUGCACUAAGAUAAAAAAAUUGGUUAACACGACCACUCGUGGUGGCUUCACUCAGAGGUUGGAGAAGACAACCGGUGGACUAAACAUCAAGCCUCUGCACGAUUCAGAAUUAAGACAACCUUAGCAGGAGAGCCCCAGCAGUAACUUUCUCUCAAGCAGAUGAGCAAUAAGUUGCUUUGUAUGAACACCACCCUAACAAUCAAGUUUUCUACAGUAGCCUGUUAACAGUAGACCAAAGGUAUGAUGAUCAAUUAUAAAUGCAAUAUGGUUGAAAGGUCAGUAAACAAACAACAAAAAGGUAAUUUCUUAAUAGAAUGUCUGUACAUUUUUUGCUUUUGUUACAUAUUUCAUACAUCAAAAUCCUUAAACGUUAAUAAUUAUGUAUUCCAACUUGUUGCAGCUUGACAAAAAUGUAGCUUGAAGGAGAAGGGACAGCUGAGAAACAAAGUCCUGGUACGCAGACGACGAUACUAUUACACUGACAAGAGUGUAAUGAUGAUGGAGACACAAAGGGUGGACCAAACACCAGGCCAGAAUUCUGCACGAGUCAGAUCCAGUGGGUGCAGAUCAUCAUACAGAUGGUUCAAGUGUGGAUCCACCUAAUAUUCAAGAUUUUCUGUCCUGGGACCCUCGGCUAACCAUCAAGAAAGAACACACUCCAGUGGGCAUCCUUUAUCCAUCCAGACCCUCAUACAGAUGGUUGGAGUUUUGAUUCUCCUAAAGUACCAUGCAAGAGCACUCAUUUUCCCUCUUGAGACCAUGGUGUGACCUGCAAGGUCGAAUGGAGACUGUAAACGAGACAAUCUUGGAGUCACCUGCAUUCACUGGUCCAGUUGUUAGUCCAAUUACAGAUGGAGAUUAUAGAAGAGGAUGAUGUCUUUUCUCCAACAUCUUUCUAGACUGAUAAAAGAUCUAGACAGGCUUGAACAAAAGUUAACAGAGGGGCUUAUAUAGAGAAUGGUGAGCAGCUACACAUAAAAGAAGAACAUGGAGAAUCUGCCCAGAGGUGUUAACCAGCAAUGCAGCUAUACAACUAAAUUGAUGCAGGCGGAAACAAUGUGUAAUGCAGCUGCUGCAGAAGAAGAAUCCGUCCGUCUACCACUGAAGGAGACGCGGAAAUUCCUUCCAAGAUGUUCUUUGCCCGAGGAAGCAUUUGAUUAAUUUAAAGAUAUUGUGUUUCUUUGUAUGUUAUAGAAAAACGUUGCUUUUUUUGCAUACACUCGUGUAAAUAUGCAUGUUAUGAAUGUUUUUCUUUUGUCUAAUUUAAAUAAAUUUUACGCAAUCAA
This is a non-coding RNA of Misgurnus anguillicaudatus (oriental weatherfish), 1713 nucleotides long. The record is from RefSeq and is a predicted model, not a curated record. NCBI's taxonomy places the organism in Eukaryota, Metazoa, Chordata, Actinopteri, Cypriniformes, Cobitidae.